GUGGGGGAUAUUGCACAAUGGGGGAAACCCUGAUGCAGCGACGCCGCGUGAAGGAAGACGUACUUCGGUAUGUAAACUUCUAUCAGCAGGGAAGAAGAUGACGGUACCUGACUAAGAAGCCCCGGCUAACUACGUGCCAGCAGCCGCGGUAAUACGUAGGGGGCAAGCGUCAUCCGGAUUUACUGGGUGUAAAGGGAGCGUAGACGGUGAAGCAAGUCUGAUGUGAAAACCCGGGGCUCAACUCCGGGAUUGCAUUGGAAACUGUUUUACUUGAGUGCUGGAGGGGCAAGCGGAAUUCCUGGUGUAGCGGUGAAAUGCGUAGAUAUCAGGAAGAACACCGGUGGCGAAGGCGGCUUGCUGGACAGUAACUGACGUUGAGGCUCGAAAGCGUGAGGAGCAAACAGGAUUAGAAACCCGGGUAGUCC
This 425-nucleotide ribosomal RNA is filed under the name uncultured bacterium. RNAcentral's name for it is "partial 16S ribosomal RNA". It matches the Rfam family "Bacterial small subunit ribosomal RNA", at positions 354 to 796 of the family's 1533-position model. The record is from RNAcentral.